CCUACGGGAGGCAGCAGUGGGGAAUAUUGGACAAUGGGGGGAACCCUGAUCCAGCGACGCCGCGUGAGUGAAGAAGUAUUUCGGUAUGUAAAGCUCUAUCAGCAGGGAAGAAAGAAAUGACGGUACCUGACUAAGCAGCCCCGGCUAACUACGUGCCAGCAGCCGCGGUAAGACGUAGGGGGAAAGCGUUAUCCGGAUUUACUGGGUGUAAAGGGAGCGUAGACGGCGAUGCAAGUCUGAAGUGAAAGGCGGGGGCCCAACCCCGGGACUGCUUUGGAAACUGUAUGGCUGGAGUGCAGGAGAGGUAAGUGGAAUUCCUAGUGUAGCGGUGAAAUGCGUAGAUAUUAGGAGGAACACCAGUGGCGAAGGCGGCUUACUGGACUGUAACUGACGUUGAGGCUCGAAAGCGUGGGGAGCAAACAGGAUUAGAUACCCUUGUAGUC
This 443-nucleotide ribosomal RNA is filed under the name uncultured bacterium. RNAcentral describes it as "partial 16S ribosomal RNA". It matches the Rfam family "Bacterial small subunit ribosomal RNA", at positions 338 to 795 of the family's 1533-position model. The record is from RNAcentral.